RNAcentral lists this ribosomal RNA (1398 nucleotides) under uncultured bacterium. Its description in RNAcentral is "partial 16S ribosomal RNA". It matches the Rfam family "Bacterial small subunit ribosomal RNA". The record is from RNAcentral.
AGAGUUUGAUCCUGGCUCAGGAUGAACGCUAGCGACAGGCCUAACACAUGCAAGUCGAGGGGCAGCACUGAGAAAGCUUGCUUUUUCUGGUGGCGACCGGCGCACGGGUGCGUAACAGGUGUGCAAUCUGUCCAUAAUCGGGGAAUAGCCCACUGAAAGGUGGAUUAAUGCUCCAUGUGAGUUUAGAAGGCAUCUUCUUUACUUGAAACGUAAGGAUUAUGGGUGAGCACGCUUCUGAUUAGCUAGUUGGCGGGGUAACGGCCCACCAAGGCGACGAUCAGUAGGGGUUCUGAGAGGAAGGUCCCCCACAUUGGAACUGAGACACGGUCCAAACUCCUACGGGAGGCAGCAGUGAGGAAUAUUGGUCAAUGGGCGCAAGCCUGAACCAGCCAAGUCGCGUGAAGGAUGAAGGUUCUAUGGAUUGUAAACUUCUUUUGCAUGAGGGUAAAGGACGGUACGUGUACCGUUUUGCAAGUAUCAUGCGAAUAAGCAUCGGCUAACUCCGUGCCAGCAGCCGCGGUAAUACGGAGGAUGCGAGCGUUAUCCGGAUUUACUGGGCGUAAAGGGCGCGUAGGCGGUAAGAUGUGUCAGAUGUGAAAUCUCCGGGCUCAACCCGGAAAGUGCGUUUGAAACUGUUUUACUGGAGUACGGAAGGGGGAUGCGGAAUGCAAGGUGUAGCGGUGAAAUGCGUUGAUAUCUUGCAGAACACCGGUGGCGAAGGCGGCAUCCUGGGACGUUACUGACGCUGAGGCGCGAAAGCAGGGGGAGCAAACAGGAUUAGAUACCCUGGUAGUCCCUGCCCUAAACGGUGUGCACUUGACGUGGGGUUUUCACCGACUCCGUGUCGUCGCUAACGCUUUAAGUGCACCGCCUGGGGAGUACGGCCGCAAGGCUAAAACUCAAAGAAAUUGACGGGGGCCCGCACAAGCGGAGGAGCAUGUGGCUUAAUUCGAUGCAACGCGAAGAACCUUACCUAGAUUUGACAUCUAUCUGCACGUCCUAUGAAAGUAGGAUUCCUUCGAGGGUGAUAGACAGGUGCUGCAUGGCUGUCGUCAGUUCGUGCCGUGAGGUGUUUGGUUAAGUCCAGCAACGAACGCAACCCCUAUGACUUGUUGCUAACAGGUAAUGCUGAGAACUCGAGUCAGACUGCCCGUUUACGCGGGAGGAAGGUGGGGACGACGUCAAGUCAGUAUGGCCCUUACAUCUAGGGCUGCACACGUGCUACAAUGGCCGGUACAAUGGGCUGCAAUACCGCAAGGUGGAGCUAAUCCUCAAAACCGGCCCCAGUUCAGAUUGAGGUCUGCAACCCGACCUCAUGAAGCCGGAUUCGCUAGUAACGGCGCAUCAGCUACGGCGCCGUGAAUACGUUCCCGGGCCUUGCACUCACCGCCCGUCAAG